This 274-nucleotide ribosomal RNA is filed under the name uncultured bacterium. Its description in RNAcentral is "partial 16S ribosomal RNA". It matches the Rfam family "Bacterial small subunit ribosomal RNA", at positions 523 to 796 of the family's 1533-position model. The record is from RNAcentral.
AUACGGAGGAUGCGAGCGUUAUCCGGAUUUAUUAGGUUUAAAGGGUGUGUAGGCGGUAUUUUAAGUCAGUGGUGAAAUCUUUCAGCUUAACUGAGAAACUGCCAUUGAUAUUGGAAUACUUGAGUAUAGUUGAGGUAGGCGGAAUAUGUAAUGUAGCGGUGAAAUGCAUAGAUAUUACAUAGAACACCGAUUGCGAAGGCAGCUUACUAAACUAUUACUGACGCUGAUGCACGAAAGCGUGGGGAGCGAACAGGAUUAGAUACCCUAGUAGUCC